Molecule: non-coding RNA, 112 nt
Filed under: Ruminococcus flavefaciens
Lineage: Bacteria; Bacillati; Bacillota; Clostridia; Eubacteriales; Oscillospiraceae
Description: FMN riboswitch (RFN element)
Rfam family: FMN riboswitch aptamer (RFN element)
About the family: The RFN element is a highly conserved domain that is found frequently in the 5'-untranslated regions of prokaryotic mRNAs that encode for flavin mononucleotide (FMN) biosynthesis and transport proteins. This element is a metabolite-dependent riboswitch that directly binds FMN in the absence of proteins.
Source: RNAcentral
UAUCUUCAGGGCAGGGUGUGAUUCCUGACCGGCAGUGUAGCCUGCGAGCCGCUUGUGCGGUUGAUCCGGUGUGAUCCCGGAGCCGACGGUAAUAGUCCGGAUGAUAGAAGAU